Molecule: ribosomal RNA, 450 nt
Filed under: uncultured bacterium
Lineage: Bacteria
Description: bacterial SSU rRNA
Rfam family: Bacterial small subunit ribosomal RNA
Source: RNAcentral
GUGGGGAAUAUUGGACAAUGGGCGAAAGCCUGAUCCAGCCAUGCCGCGUGUGUGAAGAAGGUCUUCGGAUUGUAAAGCACUUUAAGUUGGGAGGAAGGGCAGUAAGUUAAUACCUUGCUGUUUUGACGUUACCGACAGAAUAAGCACCGGCUAACUUCGUGCCAGCAGCCGCGGUAAUACGAAGGGUGCAAGCGUUAAUCGGAAUUACUGGGCGUAAAGCGCGCGUAGGUGGUUUUGUAAGUUGGAGGUGAAAUCCCCGGGCUCAACCUGGGAACUGCCUCGAAAACUGCAUGACUAGAGUACGGUAGAGGGUAGUGGAAUUUCCUGUGUAGCGGUGAAAUGCGUAGAUAUAGGAAGGAACACCAGUGGCGAAGGCGACUACCUGGACUGAUACUGACACUGAGGUGCGAAAGCGUGGGGAGCAAACAGGAUUAGAUACCCUUGUAGUCC